This 70-nucleotide transfer RNA is filed under the name Pseudomyrmex peperi. Its description in RNAcentral is "tRNA-His". Lineage: Eukaryota; Metazoa; Arthropoda; Insecta; Hymenoptera; Formicidae. The record is from RNAcentral.
AUUUAAAUAGUUUAAUUAAAAUUCUAAUUUGUGGGAUUAGGGAUGUUUGAUAUGUAUAUAACUUUAAAUU